CUCCCCACAUACUAGGACUUCAUGCUAUGAUCCUGGCAGAUCUCACAAGCUAAACCAGGUCAGGCCAGAUCAGUACUUGGAUGGGAAACCCCAAGAUCACUUUGGUGCCCUGGGAAGU
Molecule: ribosomal RNA, 118 nt
Filed under: Chrysemys picta bellii (western painted turtle)
Lineage: Eukaryota; Metazoa; Chordata; Testudines; Emydidae
Source: RNAcentral